GAUGAAGAACGCAGCGAAAUGCGAUAAGUAGUGUGAAUUGCAGAAUUCAGUGAAUCAUCGAAUCUUUGAACGCACAUUGCGCCCCUUGGUAUUCCAUGGGGCAUGCCUGUUCGAGCGUCAUUUGUACCUUCAAGCUCUUCUUGGUGUUGGGUGAUUGUCUAUCUUUGUAGACUCGCCUUAAAGUCAUUGGCAGCCGGCAUAUUGGCCUGGGAGCGCAGCACAAGUCGCGCUUCUUGUCAUGAAUGUUGGCGUCCAGUAAGUCUACAUAUUUUGCUCUUGACCUCGGAUCAGGUAGGGAUACCCGCUGAACUUAAGCAUAUCAAUAAGCGGAGGA
RNAcentral lists this unclassified non-coding RNA (334 nucleotides) under soil metagenome. RNAcentral's name for it is "partial contains 5.8S ribosomal RNA, internal transcribed spacer 2, and large subunit ribosomal RNA". The stretch from base 1 to 120 matches the Rfam family "5.8S ribosomal RNA", at positions 35 to 154 of the family's 154-position model. The record is from RNAcentral.